UUAUCCGGAUUUACUGGGUGUAAAGGGAGCGCAGGCGGUGCGGCAAGUCUGAUGUGAAAGCCCGGGGCUCAACCCCGGUACUGCAUUGGAAACUGUCGUACUAGAGUGUCGGAGGGGUAAGCGGAAUUCCUAGUGUAGCGGUGAAAUGCGUAGAUAUUAGGAGGAACACCAGUGGCGAAGGCGGCUUACUGGACGAUAACUGACGCUGAGGCUCGAAAGCGUGGGGAGCAAACAGGAUUAGAUACCCUGGUAGUCCACGCCGUAAACGAUGAGUACUAGGUGUUGGGAA
RNAcentral lists this ribosomal RNA (289 nucleotides) under uncultured bacterium. RNAcentral describes it as "partial 16S ribosomal RNA". It matches the Rfam family "Bacterial small subunit ribosomal RNA", at positions 541 to 829 of the family's 1533-position model. The record is from RNAcentral.